This 705-nucleotide long non-coding RNA is filed under the name Phoenix dactylifera (date palm). Its description in RNAcentral is "long non-coding RNA (PDAC_LNC008488)". Lineage: Eukaryota; Viridiplantae; Streptophyta; Magnoliopsida; Arecales; Arecaceae. The record is from RNAcentral.
AGCAGCCUCCCAGCGCGUUCACAGCAACAAAUCCUCCCAUGUGCGUCUGCAGCUCCUUCCAUUUCCAGCACCCCAGCGAUUCCGUGGCAUCCUUCCUCUUCCACGCGCGAUCUCGGACGAUCACCUCCUCCCAGCGUCCGCCCGUCAUUCCAAAUUAGCGCCCCAUUCUCCGUAAUCAGCAUCCGUUCCGAAUUAGCCUCCUCCCAGCAAAACUCCCUGCAUUCCUAUCCUUCUGUGGAGAAAUCGGAAGCAAUCACAGCUCCCUCCCCCGAUGCUUGCAGCCCCCGCGUCCGAGCCACUCGGAUCCUGCGGCCAGCCGGGAUAUGCAUUUCAAUCGAUCGCACCCGUCCUCGGCUUCCCAUCCGUCCGCCUCUUCCUUCCGCGUCCAGCGCGCCUCAGAUUCCUCCCUUUCCGGAUUAGUGAAGCAUCCAAGCCUUCCCACGAGCAUCAUCCUCUUCCGUUUCUCGCCAUCAAGGAGCCGUUCUAGCCGCGUUACAGCUCCCCUCCGCAUCCCGCGACCCCCUUCUCCGUGAUCCCUGCAUCUGCGCUGGAUCUUCACCCAUGAUCAGCUCCCAGCGAUCACGCAUCCUCUCCACAUGCUCGCUGGCUGAUGGGAUCUAUAUAAAGAGGCUCUCGGUUGGCGAAAGGUAGGAGAGGCCAUCGGCUGGGGAGGAAGAGGGAGGUGGGUUCUCGGCUGGGUCAAAA